UGACAAGGGCAAACUGGCUGAAAGGUCAGGACGCAAAGCCUCCGGUCUAACGACUCUCGUAGUCCAGGAUAGCGGGGUUAC
Molecule: non-coding RNA, 81 nt
Filed under: zebrafish metagenome
Description: Cyclic di-GMP-I riboswitch
Rfam family: c-di-GMP-I riboswitch aptamer
About the family: GEMM was predicted in a large-scale screen for bacterial structured RNA regulatory elements. Genes associated with GEMM are involved in a diverse array of functions, including chemotaxis regulation, signal transduction, secretion and chitin.
Source: RNAcentral